This is a non-coding RNA of Chlorocebus sabaeus (green monkey), 99 nucleotides long. NCBI's taxonomy places the organism in Eukaryota, Metazoa, Chordata, Mammalia, Primates, Cercopithecidae. The record is from Rfam.
UACUCCAGCCUGGGUGACAGUGAGACCCUGAUAUAGAGCAGAUUAGCAUGUUCUCUGCACAAGAAUGACAUGCAAACUUGUGAAGUGUUCCAUAUUUUU